CCUACGGGAGGCUGCAGUGGGGAAUAUUGCACAAUGGGGGAAACCCUGAUGCAGCGACGCCGCGUGUGGGAAGACGGUCCUCUGGAUUGUAAACCACUGUCCCCAGGGACGAAGAUGACGGUGCCUGGGAAGGAAGCUCCGGCUCACUACGUGCCAGCAGCCGCGGUAAUACGUGGGGAGCGCGCGGUGUCCGGAAUUACUGGGUGUAAAGUGGGCGUAGGCGGGACUGCAAGUUGGGUGUCAAAUCUACCGGCUCAACCGGUAGCCGCACUCAAAACUGGAGGUCUUGAGUGAAGUAGAGGCAGGCGGAAUUCCUAGUGUAGCGGUGAAAUGCGUAGAUAUUAGGAGGAACACCAGUGGCGAAGGCGGCCUGCUGGGCUGCAACUGACGCUGAGGCUCGAAAGUGUGGGGAGCAAACAGGAUUAGAUACCCGAGUAGUC
Molecule: ribosomal RNA, 440 nt
Filed under: uncultured bacterium
Lineage: Bacteria
Description: partial 16S ribosomal RNA
Rfam family: Bacterial small subunit ribosomal RNA
Source: RNAcentral